CCGAGCCGUUGGGCCCUGGCUGCAUGUUUGUUUUUUAUAAGAUUCUAUUUGCUCGGAAUCCAGAAGAACAAAAGAAACAUUCUCUUCUCCCUCGUACCCGUGUGUCGAAAAACACAAUUUCUCUUCUGCUUGGCUCGUGACCAGGGAAUUGGGACCCGUGUCCUGAGCGAAAGCGAGCGCGACAGCCCCGGCGCAGGCGGGCAGAGCAGUGGCAGCCUGAACUCGAGCCGGGCCUGCUUCCUAACGGCGAAACGAACGUCAGGGGAGAUUGAUAUACUGCGUCAUACUACCAGACACAGUCUAAAGCAACUGAACUUCUCAUUCACCUGGGAAGAGAGCAUGGCCAAGAACAGAAACCCAGGAAAGUCAACUGGCAAAGAUGCACCCAAUUGGCUUUCCGACUUUUGA
This 408-nucleotide long non-coding RNA is filed under the name Phascolarctos cinereus (koala). Its description in RNAcentral is "lncRNA (ENSPCIG00000017225.2)". The record is from RNAcentral. Lineage: Eukaryota; Metazoa; Chordata; Mammalia; Diprotodontia; Phascolarctidae.